This is a long non-coding RNA of Labeo rohita (rohu), 622 nucleotides long. RefSeq lists it as uncharacterized. The transcript has 4 exons. The record is from RefSeq and is a predicted model, not a curated record. NCBI's taxonomy places the organism in Eukaryota, Metazoa, Chordata, Actinopteri, Cypriniformes, Cyprinidae.
CUGUGUCGGUUCACGUUAGGCCACCGAUCUGUAAUAGUGUUUUUUUUCCCUGACGUGUGUGUAAAAAUAAGUAUUUUUGAGACAUUUCUUGUCUUAUGAGUCGACGUGAAGUGUGGAUUUGACGUUUUGUCUGUUUUAAAGACGCAUCAUUCUGCAUUGCCUCAGACUGAUUGUGAUCCUGAAAUAUGAACAAUCCAGCACCUUCAUUCUUGUGCAGUUUAACAGGUCUGCAUUGACUUGGACUUGAACAAAACAGGCUACAAUCUAAGUGACCAGAAAACCAUAUGCUCAGGAAAGCACUGAACCAGCUAAACACUGAAAAGAGCAAGCCAAACAGUCAUGGACCAGCUCACAGACAGAAGCCAUGACAAGCUGUCUGUAGUAGAUGGAAAACCUGCUGGUAAUGGCAGCACAAAGACAGAGAUCUCGUUGAGACAAGGACGAGGCGGGCGUGACGGAGACACAGGCCACUCGGUGAGUUAAGACAGCUGGACAGGCCCGGUGACGUCCUCUUAUGAGUCAGACCUGAUGGGACAAAUGUGGCCAAAUAUAGUUCCAGGUCUGAAACACAGGGUCUUUCAAAGUUUGAGAAUUAUUUAUUAAAGAAAAAGAAGAAAUCCUU